ACACAGUCCACCGACUCUGGCCACAGACCGUAUUUAGCCACCACACACCACCAAACCAUCCACACAAGCACCACCCACAUUUGUCUACCUUGCUAUAGUCCUCCACGCCUAAGUUUAAUCAAGAGCCCUAAAGAGAAAAAUAUCAAAUUGGGAGAAGGAGAUAAAGAUGAAGAUUCGGUGUGCACAAUGCUAUGCCCAUUUUUCUAUUUCAAAUCUCAUACAUGAAUUCUCAUCUUUAGCACCAAGAAUCAUUGUUGAGUUCCAUUUUUUUGUUAUCUUUUGCUCAGAUCUCUAGCGAUGUUGCUGGCUGUGGAAUGGGAAUGGGAGUCGAGUUUUCACAACGGUGUAAUUAAGCUCUGGGAUUGUCGAAGGGGCACUGCAAUUGAGCUUUGACAUCAUUGGUCGUGCCGAAGGUCCAUCAACUGCGUUUGAAAAUGAGGAUUUUGGGUUUGAGUUCGGAGUGAAGCAGCAACGAUUGUAGUGAAUGGGGAGAUGAAAUUUUGGAUUCGAAUGUGAUUUUUCGUUUGGGUUCUAUUUG
Molecule: long non-coding RNA, 538 nt
Filed under: Olea europaea (common olive)
Lineage: Eukaryota; Viridiplantae; Streptophyta; Magnoliopsida; Lamiales; Oleaceae
Description: long non-coding RNA (OEUR_LNC008225)
Source: RNAcentral